RNAcentral lists this ribosomal RNA (491 nucleotides) under Arthrobacter sp. hata57. RNAcentral's name for it is "bacterial SSU rRNA". It matches the Rfam family "Bacterial small subunit ribosomal RNA", at positions 97 to 594 of the family's 1533-position model. Lineage: Bacteria; Bacillati; Actinomycetota; Actinomycetes; Micrococcales; Micrococcaceae. The record is from RNAcentral.
GGCGAACGGGUGAGUAACACGUGAGUAACCUGCCCUUGACUCUGGGAUAAGCCUGGGAAACUGGGUCUAAUACCGGAUAUGACUUCUCAUCGCAUGGUGGGGGGUGGAAAGCUUUUGUGGUUUUGGAUGGACUCGCGGCCUAUCAGCUUGUUGGUGGGGUAAUGGCCUACCAAGGCGACGACGGGUAGCCGGCCUGAGAGGGUGACCGGCCACACUGGGACUGAGACACGGCCCAGACUCCUACGGGAGGCAGCAGUGGGGAAUAUUGCACAAUGGGCGCAAGCCUGAUGCAGCGACGCCGCGUGAGGGAUGACGGCCUUCGGGUUGUAAACCUCUUUCAGUAGGGAAGAAGCCCUCUUUUGGGGGUGACGGUACUUGCAGAAGAAGCGCCGGCUAACUACGUGCCAGCAGCCGCGGUAAUACGUAGGGCGCAAGCGUUAUCCGGAAUUAUUGGGCGUAAAGAGCUCGUAGGCGGUUUGUCGCGUCUGCUG